GGGUGCUGAAAAAGGAGGAAAAAGAAAUAAAGUGAUCUGAAAAUUCUACCACUAAAGGGUUCUUUGAAUAAGUUCUUUACAUCUUCAAGCAAUGUUGAUGUCAGUGAAGAACAAGGAAAAGAAACUCAUCCCGAGCAUGAAAAUUCAGAUGUUGAGGUGAAUGAAGAUGGUGCGAGUACAGAGGAGCAAAUAAAUUUUGAAGUUGAUGUUGACAGUACAAUGGAGGAGGAAAAUUUGCAGCCUUCCGCUAAUGAUGAACAUGAAGAUUCCCUUUCAUUUUAUUUUGAUCCAAGAACGUGGGAAAUUCUUGACAAUAGCAAAAGGGAUAUUUUAAUUGAGAAGGGACCUAUUAGAGUACCGGAUCUGGAGUCCGAAAAGGACACCAUUGGUAGACACUUUUCAUAUGCAUUUUACUCCAGGAAGUUAAGUAAUGGUGAGUUUGUUGACAGAAAGUGGUUGGUUUACCAUAAAGGUGCAAACAAAGUAUAUUGUUUUUGUUGCAAGUUGUUCAAAUCAAAACUGAGCAAGUCUAUGCUAGCAUCUGAUGGAUUGAAUGACUGGAAGUGUUUGAGUGCGCGUCUCAAAGAUCAUGAGAACAUUGUUGAGCAUUUAAGAAACAUGAAUACAUGGAAUGAAGUUAGGUUGAGAUUAAGCAAAAAUCCGACAAUUGAUAAUGAUAUGCAAAGGGAGAUUGCAAAGGAGAAGGAGCGUUGGAGACAAGUUUUGGUAAGAAUAGUUUCUUCUAUGAAGUUUCUUGCAAAACAUACUUUGGCUUUUCGUGGAUCAAAUGAGAAGUUGUAUCAAGAUAAUAAUGGUAAUUUUUUGGGCACGAUUGAAAUGAUUGCUGAAUUUGAUCCUGUUAUGCAAGAACACAUCCGACGUAUUCAAAAUAGUGAAAUCCAUCAUCACUAUCUUGGCCACAAAAUCCAGAAUGAGUUGAUCUCAGUUCUUGCUGAUGUUGUGAGAAAGGUUAUUUUAGAGAUCAUCAAAGAUGCUAAGUAUUUUUCAGUUAUCUUGGAUUGUACCCCGGAUGUGAGCCAUGAAGAACAAAUGACUCUCAUUGUGCGUUGUGUCAAUAUGUCAAGCAACCUUCCGAGAGUGGAGGAGUUUUUCCUAGAGUUCCUAAAGGUUGAGGACACAUCGGGGUUGGGGCUUUUGAAGGUAUUAAUGGAUACAUUGAUUUCUUUUGAUUUGAAUGCUGCUGAUGUGAGAAAUUUGAAGAAAUUUGAUCAGUUGACCAGUCGCUUUGAUCAGUUGACUAGUCGCUUUGAUCAGUUGAAGAAAUUUGAAAAGGUGUUUGGUUUCUUAUUAAUUCAAAAACCCUGA
RNAcentral lists this ribosomal RNA (1326 nucleotides) under Triticum aestivum (bread wheat). RNAcentral describes it as "partial small subunit ribosomal RNA". Lineage: Eukaryota; Viridiplantae; Streptophyta; Magnoliopsida; Poales; Poaceae. The record is from RNAcentral.